Long non-coding RNA from Bombus huntii, 7729 nucleotides. RefSeq lists it as uncharacterized. The record is from RefSeq and is a predicted model, not a curated record. The transcript has 3 exons. NCBI's taxonomy places the organism in Eukaryota, Metazoa, Arthropoda, Insecta, Hymenoptera, Apidae.
UAUUCUCAAGUCAUUUGUUCAUUGAAAUCCUACAUAAAUUACGAUGACAUACUAAAUUGUAUUCCUUCAAACCCAUUAAAGAAUUUUCUAUUCUAUUCAUUAGGUUAUUUUAUUAUUUAUUAUUUUUAAUAGCCUGCAAUUUUCCUUUCUUGUUUACCUGGAAAUUUAAUAUUUUCCUUUCCUAUUCAUACAGUUCGUUCUCAAGAUCCCUGCACAGUUUCUAUAUAACGCGUAAUUAACACGUAACUGUACUAUUGUCCCUGAGACUUCAAGUUUUCUACUUUUUUCGCCAACACGAUCAUAUUUCACAUUUUUUUACGGUAAAAUACUUGUGCUGGGCAUUCUUAGCUCAUUAAAUUCCGUCACGAAUUUAUUCGUCGUAGCUACGAGAAUACCGGCAAAGGUAAAUCUCACCGCCCCCGAAAAUUUAAGAUGACAGUUGUUGCGGCAUACGGCGCUCGCAACCCCUGAAAUCAUCGAACCGGAAGGGGGUGUCUCCAAGGGUGGAGGCAUGACGCAAGUGUACAAGAUCCGAAGGUCAGGUCCUCGGGAUUACUCAUUCAUAAACGCACUUCACGCUCCUUCCUCUUCUCUUCUGUCCCUUUUACCGAUCUAUGAGCAGGAUAUCCUCCAUAGUCUUGAAUCGAUGACCUACAUCCCAUGAAAAUGCCCUCUUCUAUUUUUCUUGCUUCUCUUUAGCUGCUCAUGGGAACGAGGAAGAGUGCAAUCAAAAUUUCUUUUCCAUCGAUAUUUCUAUUAUGUCGCUUAAUAGGUUUAUAAAUUGGCUUUUAUAUAAUUAAAAUAUAUUUGUUGUAAAGGGGUGUGUUACUUUGCGAAACGAAAGUUCAUACUUUAUAAUUUCCAAAAUAAUAUACGGAUCAAAUUUUAUGCAACCGUUUGUUUUAAAUGAAAAUUGUUGUAUAUUUGUUAGCGACUUCUAUUUUUGUUCUCAUUGGUAUUUAUUAAUAUUUAUGAAAGAAGUUUCUUACAAGGUAGAUUACAUUUUUAAUAAGUUGAACGGAAAUUCGAUAUGAAUCGAAUACUCAAAACAAGUUACAAUUUACACUCUUCCAAAAAUUGAUAAUUCUUAUCUGCUUCAAUCAAUAAAGGUCUUCUUAGAAAUUCCUCUCUUCAUUAUCUACAAAUUGUUCCGGAAGAUUUCACUUACGUAUUUUCUUACCUUCUCGUUGUUUAUCAUUUACAAUAAGAAUCCCUAAUGUUUCAGUCAUUUGUGACUUCUUAGGGAGAAUAUGUUGACAUAGGGAGGAAAGAUAUCGGAUGCAAACAAUCCUGAACAGUAUUGAUUUUACGUUGAAUAUUUCGAAGUCUAUAACGGUUACCUUAUUCUUAUCACUUAUUUAUGCAUUGAUAAACAAGUUUGUGGAAUGUAUGUAGAAUUUCCAAAAAGGAACGUGGUCGAUACAAAUGCAUAAAGCUACGUAUAAAUUAUUUUGAAUAAAUAUACAACAUUUUUACGAAACUACAUACACGCAUGUGUCGAAAAUUCGACUUAAACUUAAAUUUCGUAUGUAUACACAUUGUUCGUCUUAUUAUGUUCAGUCCUAGAAGGAACUUCGAACGUAAACAAAACAAUUUCGCUACAGUUCAACGAUGUCAACAAGACGUUUUUCUUUCCGUAACAAUCACGGCAAUAAUAAGUCACGUUAUUUAAGAGGACGCAGUUGGCGUGGUGGCAUUGAGAACAGCGUUUAUGCCAAACGCAUCGCGAUACAAAGUGUCCAUCGACAUGACUAGUGCAGUGGCCGUGGUUUAUCGACAACCUGUCGUCCCGACCUCGAGACAACGUCGAAAGUGCAGAACCCUUUCUGUUCUACGCGACCUGACGAAGUUGUUCUACGCGGUAAUACGGGCGAGUAGAAGUUUUGUUCAAGUUUGCACGUCGACUUCGAUAACAUCGUUCGAUGGCUUGGUAUCGCAUCAUGUACGCGCACCAUUUAUCUGACGUGAGAUAAUAGAUUAGCGAUGGAAUCUAACAAUCUUGUUAUAUAAUGUGCGAUAGUCUCGUACGUCCCUAAUUGCAAAAGAUGGUUAACAGUUUUAUCAAUUACAAGGUACGUAUGAUAUAGUUUCGAUAAUUGAGAUUCGAUGUUUUUGUAGAUAUUGUCUUUCUUUUACAGACACGUCUUAUACAACGAUGCAUCUUUAUGCAAAGAUGAAACCUAAUCUGUCGAACGUUGUGAUUUUUAUCUUGAUAGAACAAAAUGGAUCAUAAGUAAUUCGAUAAAAUAAUAUAAAACGGGAAAUAUUGUGCAUCCAUUAUUUCCUUAUAAAACGAAAGAAACCUUUCGGACGACCUAAUGUUAUGGUUUCAACAUUUUGGUUAUCUAGAAAAUAUAUCGUUUGAGUAUCGUUAUUUAGACAAUUAAUUAGGGAAUGAAUUGUUGAGACGUGUUUGAGAAAGUUUUUCAAAUUCUGUUAAAGAUUAUGAUUUACUUUUGUAUAUAUAUUUUAAACGAUAAGCUAAUUGUUUUGUGUAAGGUUUAAAAAAACAAGGUUUAUGUUUGCUUGGCUAUAAAGGUAUACCAAAAGAAAAUGACAAAUUCAAUAGUACGUUUUCGUUAAAUUAAUUUUACACUGAUCGACUCUAUUCAAACGGAACGUUCAAAACAACUACCUUGUUGCAAACAAAAUUUGAUCUCGGUGGCAACCAAAUAAAAUGCAAAAUAGUUGUUUACUCGAAUCCUUAUACCCACGAAGCGGAGAUAAACAUAUGAAAGGGUAAACAGAACGCAAACAUACACGAGUUUGUUUACCAUGCUCAUGGCAACCAGUUUUCUACCACGAAUUAUAUAUUUUUUCGAAAAUACGGUAGAACGAACUGACAUAGAUCGAACUGUACGCACAAACCGUACAUGUCCACAAACAUGAACAAGUAUUUAUUGUUACUCGUUUUAACUAGCCGAGAUGUACAAAUAUUCUCGAGCAGAAAUGUAUCGGAAAUCGUUUACCAGCCAUUUCGCGUGAAAUCGUGUGCCAUGCUUCUCCGUGUUUUCAGUCGCCUGCAAAAUUUACAUUUACUAAGUUUACGGUUCGCGGAGUACCCACACAUUUUUAGUUUACGCUAUCAAUAAGGCGAAUUUGUAGCAAAUAUUUUUAACGUAAUAAAUCAAUCAAAGUAUUGGAAUACCUUCGAACUCUAAUAAAUGUAUUUAUAUGCGGGGCGGUUUAGUAACUGGUGGUACAAACGGAAAGGGGGUGAUUCUACGCGAAAAAAGAAGUCGAAAAUAUAGAAUAAAAAUUUUUUUAAUUUUUUUUUUCUUAAAUCUUUCCAUCGAUUUUCUCGAUCCAAAGUCGAUUUUCUCGAAAACAAAGCUUCAGACGAAAAAUUUUUAUUCUAUAUUUUCGACUUCUUUUUUCGCGUAGAGUCACCCCCUUUCCGCUUGUAUCACCGAUUACCAACCACCCUGUAUAUCGCAUAGAAUAUAGCUUCUUAAGUGGUACUUCUUUUCUAAUAUUCUCCGUUCUUUGAUAAAAACUCUAAUUUUGAAUCAUUCCAAGCGAGACGCCAAAAUAUUCAACAUUCUAUGCGAGCAAAUUAGUCGUUGAUUAAAUAAUUUACAAUUAUGUUAAAAAAGAAAUAUAUAUAUAAGGAAAUGAAAUUUGAAAGAAGAAAGUUACGCGAGCGUGUACGUCUCUAAUAGAGCGCACAACGGCCUUCUUUGGUUGCUCUUUAUCCGUUCAUGCACAAAAGAUCUUUCCUGCAAGGAACUGCGCGGCACAAUACCCCUCGCUUCUACCCUUACUGCCGGAAGGGUAGUCGCGACAGCUUUCGAAGGCUCGUUUACGUCGAUUAACCGAGCUGUUCUCGUUACAAGCCGUGAUCCGCGAGAUCGCCGGGACGUCGUCGUUGCCUCGUCCGGUUGCCACGAAGCUUAUCGACAAGCUGUCUACCCGACACGACGGCCACGGGCAAGGAAGCGCCUUCGUCCAAUUGAUCAACGUUAACGGAAGGUCCGAGGUUUAUGUUAAGAAGGCGAACCACCGACCUCGUUCAACCUCACCGACCCAAACGAGAAGCGCACACCAUGCAGGCGUGUGCGACGGCCACGUCGCAUCCGCCGACCUUUUUGUCACCGUACCUCUGCGGUUCUCUGGUCGCGUGCCGGACUGUAAUCCGUCUCUCUUCCGCUCACGGACGUUCCCCUUUUUUCCUACAAUAAGAUGGUCAGGUCGAACCUGUGUGCAAAGAAGGGUCAAUCGAGGAUUAACCUGUUUACCACAGAGGGAUCAUAUGGGAAAUGAUACAGGUGCCUUGCGGGUUUUAGUGAAAACGAGAAGCUAACGAUGUUGACGCCCUGUCAAGCGGCAAAGAUUUUCCGUAAUAUACGUACAUCGUAAAUACGAAAUCUUCAACUUUCUACCUUUCACGCACGUUUCCUGUCUACGUUUAUCGGUUUACGGAAGAGAAUCGUUAAGAAAGCGGAAGAAGAUAAGAUCAGGGAAUCGAUCAUGCGCCAUUGUGCUAUCCGACCGAGAUCAACUGCGUGCACCCUUGCAGGUGUCGCACAAUUGCAAGGAAGGAUUUCCAGGUGCAAGGACUCCAGCUAUUCUAUUUAAUUCCAGGAAUAACAGUAUCCUGAGGCUACCAGCAGUACGCUCGGCCAUCGACAGUAUCUAAAUUACAAGCGUAAUUCCUGAGAGAAACAACGAUCUGUGAGGCUACGAAGUCAUCUCGUUAAUCACUCUUAGUAAUUGUUCAUGCUAAUCCUCUUUACUUGCAGCGUAAACCACUGCAUGCUAAGAAAACUUUCAACCUUUGGUAUACUUCGUUCGUAUCCUUUGCGAAUAUUCGCCGGAUUAUUAAAGAAGAAGAGGAAAAGAGAGGGUUGAAAAUGGGAUGGUCGACGAUCUUUGUGUAAACAGAAAUUGUCCAUCGACGUAUAAGAUGUGAUGCAACGCGCCUUGUCAAGCUCAUACCAGACGGAAUUGAACGAGAACUGUGCGAUAAUCCCAGAUGAACAGCUAUAUAUUUUUCAUGCGAACGAAAUAACCGGUCGUUACCAAUUUUCGAAGCACAAAAAGGGAAUCUUUAAUCCUCGGCUUGGCGAGCGAUUUAUUUUCAUCAGGGAAUCGCAUCGUCUCCGCGAUCGAACGGCAGAGAAACGUUAUGUUACGCUAACAAACGUUAAUUUGUGCCCUCACGGUCGACGUAUCGAAUUAUUGUAGCUUUCAAGAGAUCUUCCCUUCCCGUUUCCCCCGUACACUUAGGCCAAUCGUGAAUCAAAUCGCAUUAGCCUCGCAGAUGCAUAUUCAUGGGAAACGUAUGGCAGAUUACACAGGUUUCGUUGCACCCCGCCUACCAAGAGGGGUGUUUUGCAUCCCUUGAAAAAGGGUUCCAAGCAUAUUUAUCGAGGCAAAACGACGUCGUAAACGCUCACGAUAUCGUCCUCUCCUUUCGUUACUUUCACCCCCCUCCCCUCUCCUACUUUUAUUCAUACCGUCUUACGUUUUUCACGUUUCAAUCUCUUUCUUUCUCCUUUUAUCUUUUCGUCUUUUUUGUUCGCAUACGUAGUCCCAUUUAUCGUACUUUGUCGUCGUUCGCGUUCCAACGGACGGAAUUUGAUCGACUUGCGAGACCCUCGAGCGUUACUCGUGACGAGACAACAAGCUUUUUCAUUUCUUCGCGGGAGAAAUCGUUUCUUCGUGAUGGGACGUAACGGCUCCAGGGAUCCUCGUGUUUGAUACGGAAUUUGACAGCACGGUAAUCGUGCUAUCAGACCGACAGACGGUGAAAGCGAUGGGGAGGAAUAUGGACUUCGGAGCGUUGCGUUGGUUUUGUAAUUUGAUCGUAUACUACGGUGCUCUUCAGGAUUUUCGAAUGGUACUGUCGAAAUCUCUCCGUUUGAAGAGACCAGGCACUUAGAAAUUCAUGGAAUAUAAAUUUACAAGCUAUCUUUAUUAACGUGUUCAACUUUAUUAACGCUAUCAACUGCUUGUUUCUUAAUUAGAAAUUUGUGCGAUCAUAUUUCGUAUUAUUAAAGUCGAUACACGCAAGUGAAUCGAAUAAGUCGAUCGUAACUCUUCUAUUAGGUUGUCCAAAUAGUUCUUUUCGUUUUAUAAGCAAGUAGUAGAUGCACAACAUUUUUUGUUUUAUAUUAUUUUAUUCAAUUAUGUUUGAUACAUUUUAUUCUAUUACUACAAAAUGGAUCAUUUUGUAGUGGAUCAUAAAUCCAUAAAAUAAUAUAAAAUAAAAAAUGUUUUGCAUCUAUUAUUUCACUAAUGAAACAAAAGAAACUUUUUGGACUUUUGGAUGUUUCCCAAGUUUAUUUUCCCAUCUUACAUUAAAACACGAAGAUGGUAUCCCGCUGGGGGUAGCCACCCACGCGAUAAUCAAGCAGUUAAAAAAUUCUACCAAAUGUUCAAAUUGGACAAACUGUGAAUGAAAAGAAUUAAAUAAAAAAAAAAUUUACAUUAAUAUAUCCUUGUUUCUUAAGGUAUCCCAAGGUAUCCUCGAGCACGUGAAAAGAUCAAAAUGAAAAAUUCUACGACACGAAACAUAUUCGUCGAAUUCGCACAGGAUCCUCGCAAAAGCAUUAUCCGAUAUUUCCGAAACCACGCACGGAAUGUCUGCAACCCCCGAAAUUAGUCACGGAAGCGUCUACCUCGUCGCCACCAGGGAAAAGUUAGAUUGUUCCCCCCGGAAGAAUGGAAAAGAAGUCUGCGCGAGAAAAGGAAUCAAGCGACGAGAAGAAAGAGAUAGAAGGGGUCGGAUGAUUAUCCGAAGUUCAUCGGUCCUCUUCACGAACUCGUGAGCCUGCUAAGCCACGCAUUAGAAACAUCCAGGCGGAGUUAUUCAGGUCGUGCGACUCGUUUUCUCCUGGUUCGCGCGCGCCGAUUUCUCCAUCGCACGCGUACGUGUACGUUGCUCUCUUCUCUGUAUUUCAAUCUGUCCGUGUCCGUAACUCUUUGCAUGUGUGUGCGUGGUAAGUCUGAUCGUGAAUGCCGCUGAAGGAUUAUGGGGUGCGAGUGUGACGAGUUCUUCGAGGACCGUCCUUGUCCUCCGCCUUCUUUUUCUUCUUCUUCUUCUUCUUCUGCUGCUUCUUCUUCUUCUUCCUUUCCUUCUUUACACCUCGAGUCCUUACGAUCGUCGGUUACGCGAAUAUUGUGUCACCGAUGGGAUUAUCCCUGCUCCCUUUUUUCAGCACUGAGGACAGUAUACACGAUUUCUCAUCGAACGCACGAUGAGUCGCGCUAUCCAUUCAAAAACAGGAACAGAUUCGCGUCGUGCGAUCGCUAGGAGUUAAACUUAGGGCGUUUCUUGUUCCGUAUUUUAAAGGAUGUUGGAGAAAAGAGAAAGCUGCGCAAUUGAUAAAUUCUUGAUGUUCUUCGUGGACAUAUUUUAUACAUAUUGACUUUACGGGACAAUUUUUAGAAUCGUUGAUGGAACGUCUUCGUAUUUAUAGUUAUGACAUCGAGUAGCUUCUUACGAUGUUAUAAGCCACGGGUAAAAAGUUGCGAAAAGAUCGAAGAGAAUAGAACGAAGAUGUUCUUUGAAAGUACAUGUAUUCACUGUAAUUUAAAUAGCUUUCGUACGUGGUAUAGAAGAAAGCGAGUGUAAUUGAACGUAAAUGAGUGUAAUUGAAAAAUUAAAAAACAAAUUGAACAAUGACUAAUUAUCGAAUAAAGAAAUAGUUCUAAUCACAAGUUGUAUAAGGAUAUUCAAUAGGAUAAUCACUGACAGAAAAAUGGAAUCAAUAGAAAAACCAUC